RNAcentral lists this ribosomal RNA (462 nucleotides) under uncultured bacterium. RNAcentral describes it as "partial 16S ribosomal RNA". It matches the Rfam family "Bacterial small subunit ribosomal RNA", at positions 28 to 507 of the family's 1533-position model. The record is from RNAcentral.
GACAAACGCUGGCGGGGUGCAUGAGACAUGCAAGUCGAACGGGGUUGCUCGGGCUUGCUCGAUCAACCUAGUGGCGGACGGCUGAGUAACGCGUAGGUGACCUACCCGGAAGUGGGGAAUAACUGCCCGAAAGGGUGGCUAAUACCGCAUGUGGUCGGCGAAUCGGAUCGCCGUCCAAAGCCGAAAGGCGCUUCCGGAGGGGCCUGCGUCCGAUUAGCUAGUUGGCGAGGUAACGGCUCACCAAGGCGACGAUCGGUAGCUGGUCUGAGAGGAUGAUCAGCCAGACUGGGACUGAGGACGGCCCAGACUCCUACGGGAGGCAGCAGUCGGGAAUUUUGCCCAAUGGACGAAAGUCUGAGGCAGCAACUCCGCGUGAGGGAUGAAGGCCUUCGGGUCGUAAACCUCUUUUCCCAGGGAAGAUCCAAGACGGUACCUGGGGAAUAAGCCACGGCUAACUACGUG